This 431-nucleotide ribosomal RNA is filed under the name uncultured bacterium. RNAcentral's name for it is "partial 16S ribosomal RNA". It matches the Rfam family "Bacterial small subunit ribosomal RNA", at positions 338 to 795 of the family's 1533-position model. The record is from RNAcentral.
CCUACGGGUGGCAGCAGUGGGGAAUCUUGGACAAUGGGGGCAACCCUGAUCCAGCCAUGCCGCGUGAGCGAUGAAGGCCUUAGGGUUGUAAAGCUCUUUCAGCGGGGAAGCGGUACCCGCAGAAGAAGCCCCGGCUAACUCCGUGCCAGCAGCCGCGGUAAUACGGAGGGGGCUAGCGUUGUUCGGAAUUACUGGGCGUAAAGCGCACGUAGGCGGAUCAGUCAGUUAGAGGUGAAAGCCCAGGGCUCAACCCUGGAACUGCCUUUAAUACUGCUGGUCUGGAGGUCGAGAGAGGUGAGUGGAAUUCCGAGUGUAGAGGUGAAAUUCGUAGAUAUUCGGAGGAACACCAGUGGCGAAGGCGGCUCACUGGCUCGUCUGACGCUGAGGUGCGAAAGCGUGGGGAGCAAACAGGAUUAGAUACCCUUGUAGUC